RNAcentral lists this long non-coding RNA (1022 nucleotides) under Homo sapiens (human). RNAcentral's name for it is "HSALNT0131163". Lineage: Eukaryota; Metazoa; Chordata; Mammalia; Primates; Hominidae. The record is from RNAcentral.
GUAAGUUAAGAGAAUAUUUUUACUAGCAACUCAAAUGAAUAUUCUGAAGAGAAAAGAAUUGUUCACUGCAUAAAUCACAAUAGCAAAGAAAGGAAAAAUGGCUUGCAAAACAGGAAAGGUACUGCCUUAUUAACCUGGGAAAUCCAUUUCAUAUCUAACCCGUCUACUUUUUAAUUCUCUUUUGGAAAGGAUAUGAUUCAUAGUCCAGCGUUUGAGUGAGCACUCCAGUCAGAACGAACUCUGCAUUGUGAACAUCUGAACAGGGUGGAAACAGACACUUUAGUUAGAGAUCCACUGCUGUGCGUGCACACAUACUCACACAGGUAAGCGGGGAAACGUACCUAUGCCUCUGGCAAAAUAUUCUCGGCAUAAAUGAAGGUCAUUUUCACAGGAUAUUAAAAUUAUUUCCGACAAACUCUAAGGAAAAGAAAAUGAGUUUCUCAGUGACCGAACGCUGAAUGUGAUACAGGGCAAUGACGGACUCGCUGGCGGACUCCACUCUACCCACCGAGUUCUGCUUGUGCUCCAUGAGCUUCCGGAAAGAUGGCUGCUUGGAUAACACCUUUCCUCCUGCACACUCUACGAUUGCCUUCAUAGUGGAAAGACUUGGGCAGAUUCCAGGAGGAAGACCUCCAGUGGCAAUGUCCAAGAAGGAAGCCAAGAGGUAAAUGGGAUGCAGGGUGAGCCCAGCUCCCCUGGAGGCGCACUUCCCACCAAAUCACCUGGUAGUUCCCUUGAGCAGGUCCGUGUGUUAUGCUUACUUGGACUGAUUUACUUUUCCCUUAAAGUGUACCUUAAAGAGUGGAGAAACGUGUGCCCGUUUUAAGGAUUCUUCCAAGCUGAAAGAGAAAAGUACUUCUGCCUCAGCAUCUCGGAGAAUGUAGUUCUGCUCAUCUGGAAAACAGAACAGCACAUACUCUGAAAAGUGUGGACACGUGAAGUGUGGCAAGUGUGACCCACAAAAUUCUCGCCCAUAUUCAGGUACAUAAUAUUACAGCUACAUUUACCUGUACAGCCUUCGG